Molecule: ribosomal RNA, 1209 nt
Filed under: Triticum aestivum (bread wheat)
Lineage: Eukaryota; Viridiplantae; Streptophyta; Magnoliopsida; Poales; Poaceae
Description: partial small subunit ribosomal RNA
Source: RNAcentral
AUGGAACACGCGCUGCUCGCCGCGCUCUUGGUGUGCGCGCUCGCGUCGGCCGGCAGCGCGCAGCCGGCGGAGCCGGGGCAGGGGGGCUACGACAACGAUGUGGCCGACCAGGAUAUGCGCAUCAGCACGACCAUGAUCGUGCUCCUGGCCGCCGUCGUCGCGGUGUUCUUCUUCAUCCUCGCUUCCAUCAUCUACCUCCGCCACUGCACCGGCUACUCGUACCCCCGCGCCCCGCGGCCGGACGACUCCCGUGGCUCCGGCCCCGGCGCCGGCUUCUCGAGCUUCAUCGCCAGGCGGCAGCAGCGGCGGGCGGCGACGCGCGGGCUCGCCGCCGAGGUGGUCGAGGCGUUCCCCACCAUGCGGUACGCGGAGGCCAAGGCACUGCGCGUGGGGAAGAAGGCGGCGCCCCCGCUCGAGUGCGCGGUGUGCCUCAGCGAGUUCGAGGACGAGGACAGGCUCCGGCUGCUGCCCAAGUGCAGCCACGCCUUCCACCCGGAAUGCAUCGGCGUGUGGCUCGCCAGCCACGUGACCUGCCCGGUCUGCCGCCGCAACCUGGACCCUAGCAAGGACGGCGGCAGCGACGACGAGGCGAGUACCCCCCCGGCGCCGGAAGCCAACAGCACCUCCAGCGAAAUAGCCGUGGUGCGGCACCACCAGGCAGAGGGCUCGCGGCCACCGGCCGUGGUCAUCGACGUGGUGACAGAGGAGGAGGCCGAGCAGCGCCGGAAGGAGGCGAUUGAGCUGCAGCGGAUAGGGACCCAGCGGCGCGCGAUGCGAUCCGGGUCGCGGCCGGCCGGGACGAAGGCCGCGAAGCUUGUCCGGUCGUACUCCGCCGGCCACUCCCUCGCCGUAGUCCGGCUCGACCGCGACCUGGAGCGGUUCACGCUGCGGCUGCCGGAGCACGUGCGCAGGGAGAUGAUCGCCGCUGCCGGGGAGCGGAGCUCGCAUCGUCGCGCACAGAGAGCCGGCAGAUGGCCAUCGUUCCUAAGGUACACCAGGACGUUGUCGGGAAGGUUCUUCUCGACGCCGAGGAGGACGGAAAGCUCCGGGGGAGGGGAGGCGUCCUCGUCAUCGUCGACGAGGAUUAGAGGGAAGCGCGUCGCCGCCGUCGAUUUCGUCGAAGGUUCUGCUGUGGGCGGCGGCGUGUCCGGUGCCAAGGUCGGCUCUGUGGCGGUCGAUGUGGACAAGGACAAGGCAGCUAGCCGGUAG